GCUGUGUUGGACAGUAGGGAGUCAAGUGGUCUUGAAAACCAUCGUCCUUUGCGGGAUUGUAGGUUCGAGUCCUACACACAGCGCCA
Molecule: transfer RNA, 86 nt
Filed under: Faecalitalea cylindroides
Lineage: Bacteria; Bacillati; Bacillota; Erysipelotrichia; Erysipelotrichales; Erysipelotrichaceae
Description: tRNA-Ser
Rfam family: tRNA
About the family: Transfer RNA (tRNA) molecules are approximately 80 nucleotides in length. Their secondary structure includes four short double-helical elements and three loops (D, anti-codon, and T loops).
Source: RNAcentral